GCGAAGGCGGCUCUCUGGUCUGUAACUGACGCUGAGGCGCGAAAGCGUGGGGAGCGAACAGGAUUAGAUACCCUGGUAGUCCACGCCGUAAACGAUGAGUGCUAGGUGUUGGGGGGUUCCACCCUCAGUGCUGAAGUUAACACAUUAAGCACUCCGCCUGGGGAGUACGACCGCAAGGUUGAAACUCAAAGGAAUUGACGGGGGCCCGCACAAGCAGUGGAGCAUGUGGUUUAAUUCGAAGCAACGCGAAGAACCUUACCAGGUCUUGACAUCCUCUGCCACUCCUAGAGAUAGGACGUUCCCCUUCGGGGGACAGAGUGACAGGUGGUGCAUGGUUGUCGUCAGCUCGUGUCGUGAGAUGUUGGGUUAAGUCCCGCAACGAGCGCAACCCUUGAUCUUAGUUGCCAGCAUUCAGUUGGGCACUCUAAGGUGACUGCCGGUGACAAACCGGAGGAAGGUGGGGACGACGUCAAAUCAUCAUGCCCCUUAUGACCUGGGCUACACACGUGCUACAAUGGACGGUACAAAGGGCUGCGACACCGCGAGGUGAAGCGAAUCCCAUAAAGCCGUUCUCAGUUCGGAUUGUAGGCUGCAACUCGCCUACAUGAAGCCGGAAUUGCUAGUAAUCGCGGAUCAGCAUGCCGCGGUGAAUACGUUCCCGGGCCUUGUACACACCGCCCGUCACACCACGAGAGUUUGUAACACCCGAAGUCGGUGAGGUAACCUUUUGGAGCCAGCCGCCGAAGGU
RNAcentral lists this ribosomal RNA (748 nucleotides) under Bacillus sp. 8CM23Y12. Its description in RNAcentral is "bacterial SSU rRNA". It matches the Rfam family "Bacterial small subunit ribosomal RNA", at positions 715 to 1463 of the family's 1533-position model. Lineage: Bacteria; Bacillati; Bacillota; Bacilli; Caryophanales; Bacillaceae. The record is from RNAcentral.